Molecule: ribosomal RNA, 1606 nt
Filed under: Marinomonas phaeophyticola
Lineage: Bacteria; Pseudomonadati; Pseudomonadota; Gammaproteobacteria; Oceanospirillales; Oceanospirillaceae
Description: partial 23S ribosomal RNA
Rfam family: Bacterial large subunit ribosomal RNA
Source: RNAcentral
CCGGAAGACCAAGGUUUCCUGUCCCAUGCUAAUCAGGGCAGGGUGAGUCGGCCCCUAAGGCGAGGCAGAAAUGCGUAGUCGAUGGGAAACAGGUUAAUAUUCCUGUACUUAUGUAUAUUGCGAUGGAGAGACGGAGAAGGCUAGGCUAGCACGGCGAUGGUUGUCCGUGUUUAAGGUGGUAGGUUGAGAGCUUAGGUAAAUCCGGGCCCUCUUAAGACCGAGAACUGAUGACGAGUCCUCUUUUGGACGAAGUAGUUGAUGCCAUGCUUCCAGGAAAAACUUCUAAGCUUCAGAUAUACAUGAACCGUACCCCAAACCGACACAGGUGGUCAGGUAGAGAAUACCAAGGCGCUUGAGAGAACUCGGGUGAAGGAACUAGGCAAAAUGGCACCGUAACUUCGGGAGAAGGUGCGCCGGUUAGUGUGAAGGAUUUACUCCGUAAGCAUUGAUCGGUCGAAGAUACCAGGUGGCUGCGACUGUUUAUUAAAAACACAGCACUCUGCAAACACGAAAGUGGACGUAUAGGGUGUGACGCCUGCCCGGUGCUGGAAGGUUAAUUGAUGGGGUUAGCGUAAGCGAAGCUCUUGAUCGAAGCCCCAGUAAACGGCGGCCGUAACUAUAACGGUCCUAAGGUAGCGAAAUUCCUUGUCGGGUAAGUUCCGACCUGCACGAAUGGCGUAACGAUGGCCACACUGUCUCCACCCGAGACUCAGUGAAAUUGAAAUCGCAGUGAAGAUGCUGUGUAUCCGCGGCUAGACGGAAAGACCCCGUGAACCUUUACUAUAGCUUCACAGUGAACUUUGAACCUACUUGUGUAGGAUAGGUGGGAGGCUUUGAAACUAGGACGCCAGUUCUAGUGGAGCCAAACUUGAAAUACCACCCUGGUAUGUUUGAGGUUCUAACUCAGGUCCCUUAUCGGGAUCGAGGACACUGUGUGGUGGGUAGUUUGACUGGGGCGGUCUCCUCCCAAAGAGUAACGGAGGAGCACGAAGGUGUGCUCAGCAUGGUCGGAAAUCAUGCGUAGAGUGUAAAGGCAAAAGCGCGCUUAACUGCGAGACAGACACGUCGAGCAGGUACGAAAGUAGGUCUUAGUGAUCCGGUGGUUCUGUAUGGAAGGGCCAUCGCUCAACGGAUAAAAGGUACUCCGGGGAUAACAGGCUGAUACCGCCCAAGAGUUCACAUCGACGGCGGUGUUUGGCACCUCGAUGUCGGCUCAUCACAUCCUGGGGCUGAAGCCGGUCCCAAGGGUAUGGCUGUUCGCCAUUUAAAGUGGUACGCGAGCUGGGUUUAGAACGUCGUGAGACAGUUCGGUCCCUAUCUGCCGUGGACGUUUGAGAUUUGAGAGGAGCUGCUCCUAGUACGAGAGGACCGGAGUGGACGAACCUCUGGUGUUCCGGUUGUCACGCCAGUGGCAUUGCCGGGUAGCUAUGUUCGGACGGGAUAACCGCUGAAAGCAUCUAAGCGGGAAGCCUCCCUCAAGAUGAGAUCUCACUGGGACAUAAGUCCCCUAAAGAGCCGUUGAAGACUACGACGUUGAUAGGUUGGGUGUGUAAGUGCUGUGAGGCAUUGAGCUAACCAAUACUAAUUGCUCGUGAGGCUUGACCAU